UGUGCAGCCUGUGCGGGGCAGGAGGGGAGUGAGGACAACCCCAAGGCUGCUGUGCGUGGGGACAGUUGGGAGGGGAGGAGUGCCAUGUCCCAGCCAGCACAGCAGACUGCUUCCCUUCAGUUUUUCUUGUGCCGUUGCCAUUCCCUUGUUCUCCCUGGGACUCUUGCUUUCCUCCUCCAGCUCCCUCCAUGCGUCUUCAGUGACCUUCAGAUGUACAAGACACUUAAUCUUCGUAUUGUUCUGCUUGGAACUGAGACGUGGACAGAAAUGGACAUUUACUCAUUGGCUGGACCAUGCUUUUCACUUUUUUACUCCAUGGACUAGAUAGUUCCUUAAACCCUGCAUACACUUUGACCGUGCACAAUUACUCCUGUAAGAGGCAGACACUAUCGAGGCACACUAGGACUGGUGACACAAGGAACUGUAUGCAACACAGACGCCUCACCAUGUAUUAUUAGGAUGUCUCUCCAAAAUUGGAGGUUGAUGGGGAAGAGGAUACCUGCACUUUUUCAGUAACUGGGUGUAAUGUGUUUCUGCGGAUGCGUUGCGUUGCACACCAGAUGAUGCGGUCCACCCAGCCCAACAUCGGCACUUCAGGAACAACUCAUUCUGUUCUCUCCUUUGAUCUGGGGGAUCGUAACAGGUUCCUGCCAGUGUCCCGUCCUGUGUGACACACGUUCGAGGUCCUGCUGUUGGGAGCCACCACUUCUUGUAAACCGAGGCACUGCUCUCAGUGCCUCCCUUCUGCUCUGGUACCCACUUUGUGCUUCAACCAACUGGUCAUUUUAAAAGUUUAGUCCAAUGACUCGUCCCAUAAAUUUCAAUCAUACCUCCCCUGCAUCUCCUUUUCUACAGCCUAACCACUCUCAGUUGUUUAACCUUUUCCCAACGGCUUGAAUUUCAACUGCUACAGUAGGUUGGGGCAGAUGGUUGUCUGACUCCAUUGUCUCAUUACUUGAGACCUGCAAGCAAACCAGGAUCCCAUCCCAACUUGAAGUUACUACUUAUGAGCUUAUGUAAGGAAUCAGCCUCUUCCAAGGAAAGCUCUUCCUUGGCACUCCCCAGAAAGUUUUGUUUGGUCUCUAACCUGAUGGACCCCUACAGCCAACCCUGGCAUGGGUUUCCAAGCGGUGUUGAGACCCUGCCUCCUUGUUGGCCUUCGUGCAUUGGACAACCUGUCUGCUCCCGCAGCUGUGACUGUGUGACCCACACUCCUAGAGACCAGGUAACCCCUGCUGCCCUUUCUGAACCGUUCCCAUGCAUACACAGAUACCUAUAAGCCAAUUCCCAAAAAGCAAAUCUUUAAAUGCCAUUUUAUAAACCAACAGGGGAGAGGGAGGAGUGCCAUGUCCCAGCCAGCACAGCAGACGCUUCCCUUCAGUUUUUCUUGUGCCGUUGCCAUUCCCUUGUUCUCCCUGGGACUCUUGCUUUCCUCCUCCAGCUCCCUCCAUGCCUCUUCAGUGACCUUCAGGUGCAGUGUGCCACAUCGGCAACAAAACUGUUAAAAGACUGUAAUAUCAACUCACCCUGCUCUCCUAGGUAUCCCACUUAUGAACCUAUCUAUAGCAAAGGGUACUCACAUUGAGCCCCUCAAAAUCUCCCCCACCAGGACGCUAGAUCCUUUCGAGGGAGCCGGGGGUACCACACCUAUCAGCACCGUUAGGUGGGCAAAUCUGAUUCACAAGAUGCACCCAGAGAUUUCCAACAGAAAUCCAGAGUUGUGGUCUUUUUGAGUUCUUUGCAACAGAAAACUGCUGUGUUGUUUUUCAGUAGUUAAAAAAGAGUGAAAAUGAAGAGCUGAUGUUUUCUGAGGGGUUCCUCCAAUCGAUCCAGGUUGAGAACCACUGCACUAGCUAUAUCCAGUUCAAUUCGUUACCUCUAUAGUGAACAUUUCUACCACUGCUGGAGCAGGGUCUGGGCUAGAUGGACCAUUGGUCUGACCCAGUACGGCACAUCUUUUGUUCUUAUGCCCCUUUCAAGUGCCUGAUUUGGGAGCUACUUAAUUACUUCCAGUAUGUUUAUUUUUUGGUUGCUAAUGGCAAGCCCCUUCCCCAUUUUGUAUGCACACCUCAGCUCCCUACUCUUGCCCCCCAAACUUCCUCCCCUCCCAAGUACUGCAUGCAUGUGAUGUCAAUGUGCUAAUGCAUUAGGGAAUGUAAUCAUGAACUACCAGGGCAGAGGAAGAUCUUAUGUGAAGAGAAAUGGUAUAACAAAUAAAGUGAACAAAUGAAAAUACA
This is a long non-coding RNA of Alligator mississippiensis (American alligator), 2237 nucleotides long. RefSeq lists it as uncharacterized. The transcript is spliced from 5 exons. The record is from RefSeq and is a predicted model, not a curated record. NCBI's taxonomy places the organism in Eukaryota, Metazoa, Chordata, Crocodylia, Alligatoridae.